GAAAAUUGGUCAGUAGCCGAAUUCACUCUCUGGAAGAGUCCAGCAACCCGGACCCAGUUCCGCAAUUGGAAGAAGAAGAAGAAGAAGUGAGAGAGAUGAAGAAAGUUAAACAGUGAGAAUUAGUUCCAACGAACAAACCAUGAUUCACCAUAUUAUCCGUAUAGAGAAGGGAUAGGAUCAACUGAAACGGAGGUCAGACAUUUUCCUUUUGAAGAGAAGCUGCUUUGUUGGGGAUGAGGUCUGUGGGAUUUGGUUGACACCCAGGGGAAGAAGACUUGUUCAUCUUUAUACUGUUGUUGCAACUGUUGAGCCACUGUUCUUUUUUAUUUGGAAGAAUCAAGAGGGAGGGAGAGAGAGAUGCAUUGGGUUUGUUGUGAAUUGGAUUCGAUUAGGGGCUUGAUUGGCUAUUUGUGGAGUUCUUUUUUCUUCUUUUUUUCUGCAAGUAAAGUUAUCUUCUCUCGUUGGUAACCCUCUUCCCAGGUGUCGUUUUA
RNAcentral lists this long non-coding RNA (491 nucleotides) under Linum usitatissimum (flax). RNAcentral describes it as "long non-coding RNA (LUSI_LNC004868)". Lineage: Eukaryota; Viridiplantae; Streptophyta; Magnoliopsida; Malpighiales; Linaceae. The record is from RNAcentral.